This 253-nucleotide ribosomal RNA is filed under the name uncultured bacterium. Its description in RNAcentral is "partial 16S ribosomal RNA". It matches the Rfam family "Bacterial small subunit ribosomal RNA", at positions 524 to 776 of the family's 1533-position model. The record is from RNAcentral.
UACGGAGGGUGCGAGCGUUGUUCGGAAUCACUGGGCGUAAAGGGCGUGUAGGCGGUCCGCUAAGUCUGAUGUAGAAGCCCGGGGCUCACCCCCGGAAGUGCAUUGGAAACUGGCGGACUCGAGUCCCGGAGAGGAGAGUGGAAUUCCUGGUGUAGCAGUGAAAUGCGUAGAUAUCAAGUGGAACACCAGUGGCGAAGGCGAGUCUCUGGACAAUUCCUGACGCUGAGGCACGAAAGCCAGGGGAGCAAACGGG